Non-coding RNA from Phascolarctos cinereus (koala), 491 nucleotides. The record is from RefSeq and is a predicted model, not a curated record. Lineage: Eukaryota; Metazoa; Chordata; Mammalia; Diprotodontia; Phascolarctidae.
GCCGCAGACGCUUACUAACUGUGUGACCCUGGGCAAGUCUCUGUCUCCUUCAGUGCCUUCAUCCCCAAAUGGGGGUCGUUUGGAAUCACUGGAGCGUGAAGGCGGUCAGAUCUCCCCUUUAGGAAACCUGGAGUGGGGACGCGAGGCAGGCGAUCGCAAUAGUCCAGGAAUUACUCGUCCUUGAAGGAAACCUGUAACGUCGGCCACACAGACUGUCACCUUCAACAGCUCCUGGUCCACUCUAUGCAGGCAGCCACCACCAAAGAGCUUGUUGGCCCGCAUUCCCAACUUCCAGCCAACCCUAUCUCCCAUGCCUCUGACGCCACAGGUUUUGUAACCAAGUCCGGGUCUUCCCAGCUAAGAUGCAGCCUUCUGAUUUUUGGUGGCUCCUCCUUUUAAGGAUGCCUGCCCUCAUUUGGGGUCUUUUAGCUAGCUGAGAUAGACUUCCUUUUGCUCGUAAUUGCUAUUGCCUUCCCAAUAAACUAAACAUG